This is a long non-coding RNA of Pogoniulus pusillus (Red-fronted tinkerbird), 1037 nucleotides long. RefSeq lists it as uncharacterized. The record is from RefSeq and is a predicted model, not a curated record. NCBI's taxonomy places the organism in Eukaryota, Metazoa, Chordata, Aves, Piciformes, Lybiidae. The transcript is spliced from 5 exons.
CCCUCUGGUUCCUGAGAAUGCCAAUGGACCCACAGAGCUUCACGAGACUCUUCACCCCAGACUCCAUGAGGCUCAUUUGUAGGAUCAGAUUGAGACACAGCAUGAGCUCCAGAAGAGUUAACAUCUGUUGUGACAGAUUCAUGCAUACGCUCACCCGUGCUUCAGAGUAAAGACCCAGAGUGACACUGACUUGCAAAGUAACAGUGAAGACACAGGUUACCAAGAUCGUGUGGCAUGUGCAGGAUGGCAUAUACUCCUUGCUUGAAAUGAAAGCAGCAGCGCUCUUUCGUGUCUGGACAAUGAGCUGGAUUUAGAUUCUCAGCGUCUGUGACUGAAAUCCUGUGAUUUAACACUGGUGUCUUGGAAAAUAAUCAUCCUCAGGGAAUCCUAAUCAAACUCUGUAAGAAGAAACAAUGUAAGGAUUUCAGUCUCCUCUGAAGCAUAUUUAUGUGGAGAUUAAUGCCAUGAACUAGACACUUUCAGAGAAGUCUUUUCUCUGGAAGGGAACUACAGGAUAAACAACCCAAGUGCUGGUUCUUGUUCUGAACAUAGAGCAAUUUUCCUGCAUCUUUGGCCUGCCACGUUUGGAUUCAUGUCUUUAUGUCCUAUACGGUAUCAGAAAAAGCAGAUCACAACAGUUCUAAGUGUUCAUUUUCAGAGACACUAAUAACAGCCUUGAUUGCUGUGACCUAAGAAGAAUUUCAAGAGCUUGGUGUGCUCUGAGUAUGAACAAUCUUAUGACUGCUGCAGUGCUUCAGUUUGCCAAGCUGAAUUUUCCUUCACUGAAUUUUAAACCACUUUAACCUUGAUCUAGCCCAAUGUGAGGUAAGAUUUGCGCACUUCCAAAACUAAGGAAGCAAAAAUGGGACAAAGAUCCAAUCUGCAUGCAAAACUCCCAUGCCUAGGGAAGCCAGGGCUACCAGCUGCUACAUGCAUUGUUUUCUUUCUAAGUUUUUAACAUGGUGACAUUUUGGUGACAGUGAAAUAUGGAAAAACAUAGGAAAAAUUUAAUUGGCUUUCUGGCAAGUUGAAAAUUU